This 377-nucleotide long non-coding RNA is filed under the name Medicago truncatula (barrel medic). RNAcentral describes it as "lncRNA gene22873". The record is from RNAcentral. Lineage: Eukaryota; Viridiplantae; Streptophyta; Magnoliopsida; Fabales; Fabaceae.
CGAAACUAUAGGAGAGAUAUGUCUUGUAUAUAUGUUACAUUUCAAAUUCAUCGAUAAUUCCUCGAGAACAUGAAAAGUUCAUUAUUGGCAAUGUAGUUUUCAUGUUUCGUUGAGAAUGAAAAAAGUAUGUUAAUAUGUUUUUAUGGCCUGUGCUUUGUGAAUUAAAUUUAUUUUAUGAGAAAAUAACUCCAAUUGAUUUUUGGUGAAGGUGGACUAAAAUUCAUCUAGUGCUUAUAUUCUAAGAACCUUUGUUGGUCACUAAUAUUUAAGAGACUUUAUAUGUCAUCUUUAGCAAGAUUUUGUGAAUCUCUACAUUUUUAAGUUCUAGAUUGAGAACUCCGACGGAAAAUAAAUUGUCAUGCGUCAGUAAAUUUUAU